CUGAUCUGCACUACGGGCUGCCUGACGAGGAACUACAGAAUGUGGGAGCAAGGAUGAGGGACAGUAAAGAGAGAUGUUGCCGAUGGGGUAAGGUGUGAUGCAACCGAGAAUCAGACCCACAAUAUUUUAUAAGAUGGAGCAGUGGAAAUGCGGUUCCUGAAUUCUUGCAGUCGCUGUGAGCUGGUGCAGAGCUAUGAUUUCUUGCUGGAAAUAGGAUGAACUUGGAAGAGGAUUGUUUCUCAAUAAAAUACAUUUUACUGAAAAGAGAUAAAACUGAGAAAUUUGGAGUUGUGCUCGGUUUGGAACAGG
This is a non-coding RNA of Pelodiscus sinensis (Chinese soft-shelled turtle), 309 nucleotides long. The record is from RefSeq and is a predicted model, not a curated record. Lineage: Eukaryota; Metazoa; Chordata; Testudines; Trionychidae.